RNAcentral lists this transfer RNA (72 nucleotides) under Metarhizium anisopliae. RNAcentral describes it as "tRNA-Pro". It matches the Rfam family "tRNA". From Rfam's summary of the family: Transfer RNA (tRNA) molecules are approximately 80 nucleotides in length. Their secondary structure includes four short double-helical elements and three loops (D, anti-codon, and T loops). RNAcentral also lists the same sequence under 4 other names. The record is from RNAcentral. Lineage: Eukaryota; Fungi; Ascomycota; Sordariomycetes; Hypocreales; Clavicipitaceae.
GGUCUGAUGGUCUAGUGGUAUGAUUCUUGCUUUGGGUGCAAGAGGUCCCGGGUUCAAUCCCCGGUCAGACCC